UUUUUUUUUUUUUUUUUUUUUUUGGUCUUUUUAUUUUCUAUCAGUAUUGUUGUUAGUGAGCAUAUUUAUUCUGAAGUAUACAAAGAAGAAUAAGAAAACAGUGCUUUCUGUUGCUGGAAAAAUCUUGGCCAAGUCAGGAGAGAGGAACCACAUGGUCAUUUUAACAGGUGAAGUUUAAUAUAAAGGACUAUAAAUAUGACAGGGAAUAGGAGGUGAGAGAUUGAUAAAGAGGUAAAGAGAACUCUGUAGAAUACAAGAAGAGCAGGUAUAACAUGAACUUAACAGCCACUUCCCUAAGGCUGAGAUAGAGUACCCAAAGAAGGGGCCCCUUGGGACUGACUUCAGAGUUUGUUGCAGAGGACCUGGCUGUGUCUCUCAGUGCAGAAAAGUCAGUGUAGUGUCUUGUUGAUGGAACUUACCCGAAAUCCACCCCCCUGGAGCUUGCUGAAGAUGCAUCUUAUUAGAGGCACUCCACUAUAAAAUCACCCAAAGCUGGUGCUGGGGAAGCUGCUGGGUCAGCUGACCUCUCUACAAUUGCAGGAGCUGGGCCCUGGGGAAGCCAGGAGGGAACAGAACCCUUCCCUCCUGCCCUCUCUAGUGUGUCUCUCCAGUGCCCUCUCUUGACAAAACUUUACAUGCUGCAGUUGUCAAAGAAAAUCUGUUUAAGGACUCAGAUCCAUUUUCAGAGCAGGCCAAAAGGAUGAAUUUGGAGCUGAGAGGCAAUAGUUAAUAACCAACAUAACCUGCAAGAUCAUUCAUGACAAAAAAUUUUUCCUUUCCCAUGACUAUGACAGUCUGUGAAAUAGCCUGAUUUCAUUUCUACUAAAAUGUCUCUAAGAGGCAUAUGAAUUGUUAGGCAUAUCAGUUUAUUUAACUUCUAAUGAAAUGUAUUACUACUUUGUAAUUAGUGUAUGUCUAUUCUCCUGAUAAAUCCUUAAGAAUCUGUGUCACUAUAAAAGCUGAUUUUUAUUUAUUAUUUUUUAAAAAGUGCUGCUUCAUUUCUUCAUGCUUCUGACCUAUAUUCAUUAGACUAUAAAUAUCAACAUACAUGUUACACAGGCGAUUGGAAGCCACCUGUGAAGAAUUUAUUCUUGGUUUAAAACUGUUUUUGAAAAUAUCUCUAGGAACUUGUUAUUCACUUAACAAAUACAUUUUUUAAUUUAAAAAAAUUUUUUUAAGAUUUUAUUCAUUCAUGAGAGACACAGAGAGAGAGAGAGAGAGAGAGAGGCAGAGACAUAGGCAGAGGGAAAAGAAGGCUUCCUGCAGGGAGCCCAGUGUGGGACUCGAUCCCAGGAUACUGGGAUCACUCCUUGAGCUAAAGGCAGAUGCUCAAGCACUGAGCCACCCAGGUGUCCCUAAUUUUAAAAUUCUUGACAUUAACAUAACUAGAUUGAAGUGUUAUGACAUUCUGCUUUAAUAUUUCUUAUUGACAAACAAAAUUCAUGAGCUAAAGAAGACUAGACUAAAAAGAAAAGGAGACUCCUGGCUGGCUGUUAGAGGAGCAUGAGACUCUUAAUCUUGGUCAUGAGUUCAAGCCCCGUGUUAGGUGUAGAGAUAACUAAAAAAAUUUUUAAAAACUUAAAAAAAAAGAACAAGAAAAGUUUAUAAAACUAAGUAUGGAUCCCUGAGUUAGCAGCCAAACAAAGAACAUGAUUUUAAUUUGUUAGAUGUAUAGAAACUAAACACUUAAAAUUAUUUAAAACUUGAAAGCACUAGCCAAGAGUUAUGUAGGUCCUGUGGGAGAACUAGCAGAAAAUAUCUAUAGGUAAACCUGUGUUGUGCUGGUUGUACCCCACAUCACUUCCAGGGAAACAGGGACAUUAAAUGGAUACUGGGUUAAAUUAAGGAUAUUGAUCUACCUAUCAGAAGAGCCUUUCACCGUAUAUGGUAAGUUUGAUCUGGCCCCAUACCUGAUGACUCAUGUUAACCCCUUUGUAGUCCAUUAUUUAGAACAACUAGUUUAUGUGUGGCUUCAGUAGGUAUAUCCAGAAUUUCUCAGUAAGACUUCUCUCAAGAGUUGAAUCCAAUUCUGAUAAACCUGAAGCUCUCCUCCAUCAUGGCAAAGUGAGAUUAUUGUCUUCUACCUGGUUUGAUUUGGCCACAGUGGUAAAGUAAUGUGGUGUCUUUAAAUCAAGUAACAUUUACAGGUGGUCUUCUGGGUCAUAGAUGACAUGGAGAUGGACUGCACAAAGGGAACUGGAGAGCUAGACUGUGGUAAAUGACUCCAGUUUGACCAACAUAUCUGCUUGACAAAAUUGGUUACAGAUUACAGAGUACUAGCAUUAUUCUUUUAAAAUAAUUUUAAUAAUAUCAAAAAACAUCCCACAUGAGGUGAGCUUGCUUUUUAAAACUAAGACAUAAUUAUCACAAGUUCAGUGAAUAAUAAUUAGGAGUGAGUUUAGGAAUGCUAAACUGAUACUUUUAAAAGAAAGUAUGGCUAUUAAAAAUAAGACUUUUUUGGUGUGUAAUAAACUGAUACAGAAGACAUUUCUAAAAGAAAAAUUACAAAUACAGUUUGAGAAGUUGCAAAUUAUGAGUAAGUAUAUAUUUCCCAAAUUGCCUACCCUAAUGGGUUCAGCACUCAUCUAUAUGUAAAGUAUGAAAUUAUAUAUUAAAGAAAAAUGUAGUCUCAUUACUUUGUACUCAUAACUCUUAGUGUAAUAGCUUUGGGUUGCAGCAAAAUCCAAACUUUUGCCUCUAGAGUAGACUAAAUAAUAUGUGUUCUUCAUGCAUAGGCUUAUGUAGAAGAGAGAGAGAGAGAGAGAGAGAGAGAGUGUGUGUGUGUUACUAAACUGAGUUUAAAAAAAAGAUACUUUAUAUUGUAGAAACAUUCCCAAAUGUAGGAAAAGAUUUAUCAUUUUAUAGAAAAGCAAUGAGUUGUUAUUCUUUUAAAGGGAUGUUUGGAUGAGGUAAAAAUCUACUACUUACUUUAAUACUGCAUUUUUAACUUUGAUGCUUUAGAUAAUUCUCCUGUAAGAGGGAAUUUCAUUUUCUUGAUAUCCAUUGUUUGGUAAUGUUUUUUAAAUUGUGUCUCUGGAAGUACCUCAGGGCUGAAGCUUAAAAUUUUUUUUAAAAGAUUUUAUUUAUUUAUUCAUGAGAGGCAGAGAGAGAGAGAGAGUCAGAGACACAGGCAGAGGGAGAAGCAGGCUCCAUGCAGGGAGCCCAACAUGGGACUUGAUCCUGGGUCUCCAGGAUCAUGCCCUAGGCUGUAGGCAGCGCUAAACCGCUGGGCCACCGGGGCUGCCUGAAGCUUAAAAUUUGCAACUUUAUGGCAUUUGUCUGAGAUGCAACAGGAAGAAAAUGAGCACAAACAUCUCAUUUGUCACCUUAUAUAGUAAGAAUGAAUAUUACCUUAUAUGGCAAAAUAAAUAAGGAUUUUAAAUCUUUAUACUGGAUUAUCUGGGAGGACCCUAAUGCAAUCAUAUUUAUCCUUAUAAGAGAAAAGCAGAGGGAGUUUUUGAGACAGAAGAUAAUGAGGAAAUGUGACCAGGGAGGCAGAGAUUGGAGUGAUGUCAAAAACCAAGGAAUGCCUGGAAUCACCAAAAGUUUGAAGAAGCAAAGAAAGGAUUCUAUACUAGAACCACUAAUGGAUGCAUGACCCUAUUGAUACCUUGAUUUUGGCCUAAAAAUCAAAACUUAUUUUUGGAUGUCUGGCCCCCAGAACUAUGAGAGAACAAUUUUUGUUGUUUUAUUCCAAGCAGUUGUGGUUAUAGCAGUUCUAAGAAACUCUAAUUCACUUAGUUCAUAGAUUGAUUGAAUCUUUUUUUCCCCCUAAAAUUCAUUAUGUUAAAUUAAUUAUUAACUCAAAUGUGAUGGUAUAUGGAGGUGGGACCUUUGGGAGGUAAUUAGGUUUGGAUGAAGUCAUGAAGAUAGAGCCCAUAUGAUAGAACUAGUGUCUUUGUACGCAAAGGUCAGGUGGCUAUCUACAAACCAGGAAGUGGGCCUUCAUUGGACACCAGAUCUGCUGGCAAUUUGAUCUUAGACUUCCUAGACUCCAGAACUGGGAGAAAUAAAUGUUUUCUAAGCCAUCCAGUCUAUACUAUUUUAUUGUAACAGCUCAAACUGACGGAGACACUUGGAAAUGAAACAAAUGCAAAAAUAAAAUGUAAAUAUAAGAUUAGUCAGCCAUAUAAGAAAAUAUUUUACAGAGAUUGACUACUUUUAAAAAGAAAAUACUGUAUUUAGUGAUGGUGAUAAGAUGUGAUGAUGAUGAUGUAUGAUGUAUGAUGAUGGUAUCAUCAUACAUUGCUGUGAAAGUGAAGAAAAUUUGGCAAGGUGGAACAAAAUUAUGGAGCCAUUAGAAACUAUUUUCGAAGAAUAAGGUAAAAACAUGAUUACCAUAUAAUACUAAGUAAAAACAGGAUUUAAAAUUUCAUUUAUAUUAAGGGGGCUCCCCUAAGUUCUUAAGAUCUCCUUAUAUAUUUUGGAUAUUAAGCUCGUAUCAAAUAUAUGGUUUACAGAUAUUUUUUUCCCAUUCUGUAGGUUGCCUUUCACCCUGUUGGUGUUUUCCUUUAUUGUUCAGAAGAUUUUUAGUUUGGUAUACUCCUAUGUGUCUGUUUUUACUUUUGUUGCCUGUAAUUUUGAUGUCAUAUCCAAGAAGUUAUUGCCAAGCCUAAUAUCAGACUUCUUCCUUAGGUUAUCUUUCAGGAGUUGUAACAGUUUUAGGUCUUAUAUCUUUAAUAUGUUUUGAGUUGAUUAUUCCAUAUGGCAUGAGAUAAGGGUCCAGUUUUAUUUGUUUUCAUGUAGACAUAUUUUGAAAUCAUAGAGUGAUAACUUCAAUUCUAUUCUUCUUUCUUAAGAUUUUUUUUUUAUAUCUGUGGUCAUUUCUGGUUCCAUGUGAAUUUUAGGAUUGUUUUACUAUUCCAAGACUAUGUUGAAUAGAAGUGGCAAGAGUAAGAAUCCUUGCCUUGUUCCUGAUUUUAGAGGAAAAGCUUUCAACUUCUUACUGUUGAGGAUGAUGUUAGAUACGGCUUUUUAUAUAUGGCCUUUAUAAGUUGAGGUAAUUCCCUUUGAUAUCUAUGGUGAGAGUUUUUAUAUGAAAUAGUGUCAAAUUUUAUCAAGUGCUUUUUUUUGCAUCUGUUGAGAUGAUCACAUGAUUUUUAUCGUUCACUCUUAAUAUGGGAUGUCCUUAGUAAUUGAUUUUUGUAUUAUGAGCCAUCUUUGCAUUCCAGGGGUAAAUCCUACUUGGUCAUAGUGUAUGAUCCUUUUAAUGUGCUUUUAAAUUUGGUUUGCUAGUAUGUUGUUGAAGAUAUUUGCAUCUGUGUUCAUUAAGGGAUAUUGGCCAUAAUUUUCUUGUACUGACUUUGUCCCACUUGGUUAUCAGGGUAAUGCUGUCCUCAUAAAUUGAGUUUGGAUGUAUUUGCUCCUCCUCAGUUUUUUGAAAGAGUUUGAGAAGGAUUGGCACUAAUUCUUCUUUAAGUAUUUGGUAGAAUGACACCAAUCAAACCAUCCGGUCCUCGGGUUUUUGUCGUCAGAAGAUUCCUGAUUCCUGAAUUAAUCUCCUUACUCAUUAUUGAUCUGUUUGUAUUUUCUAUUUCUUCUCAUGAUUCAGUUUGUAUGUUUCUAGGAAUUUAUCUACUUCUUCUAAAUUGUCCAAUUUGUUACUCUAUAAUUUGUUUAUAGUAGUCUUUCAUCCUUCGUAUUUUCUUUGGUAUCAGUUGUAAUGUCUCUUUAAUAUCUAUUAUCUAUUAAAUAUUUAUUUAUUUGAGUCUAAUCUCUUGCUUAGUCUAGCAAAAAAAAGUCAAUUUUGUUAAUCUAAAAAUAUUUUGAUUUUUAAAAAUUUUCUGUUCUCUAUUUCCUUUAUUUCUGGUUUAAUGUUUAUUAUUCCCUUCCUUUGCUAAUUUUACACAUAGGGUUGUUGAGCUAAUUCCUUGAGAUAUAAAGUUAGGUUGUUUAUUUGAAAUCUUUUUCUUUAAUGUGGGUGUUCUUUGCUUGUACUGCUUUUGUUGUAUCCAUAAAUCUUGAUAUAUUGUAUUUUCAUUUGUCUCAACAUAUUUUCUCAUUUCUUUUUUGCUUUUUGACCCACUGGUUAUUCAAGAGUGUUCUCUUUAAUUUUCAUGAAUUUGUGGAUUUUCCAGUUUUUCCUUUGCUUUUGGUAUCUAAUAGCAUUGCGUUGUGGUUAGAAAAGAUACUUAUUACGAUUUUAUUCUUAAAUUUGCUAACUUUUGGGGAUCCCUGGGUGGCGCAGCAGUUUGGCGCCUGCCUUUGGCCCAGGGCGCGAUCCUGGAGACCCGGGAUCGAAUCCCACGUCGGGCUCC
Molecule: long non-coding RNA, 6257 nt
Filed under: Canis lupus familiaris (dog)
Lineage: Eukaryota; Metazoa; Chordata; Mammalia; Carnivora; Canidae
Description: lncRNA (ENSCAFG00000053857.1)
Source: RNAcentral